UGACGCAUAUAGAAACCAUGAAUUCUUCAAAGCUGGCUGGCCAUGCAGUGCCCAAAAGUAUGCUCAAUCCCAAGCUAGGCGGGAUCGGCCAUAUGAAUCGUCAUUAUCAAUAUGGAUUGUCUCAAUCCAAUGUUCAAUAAUUUAGGUUCUCUAAUAAUAAUAAGACUGGACCAAAUAUAGUAUACUCUCCAAUAAUUACAAAGACAGUGAUUUUAUAAAUUAUUAACUUGCUCUCUAGCAGACCAACUUUAAUUGAAAGGCGAGAAGGAAAAAAUAAUAAUUUUAGAUUUAAUGGGCAUGUUGAACACAAUUGAUAUCAGAUACGAAGGGAUUAAGAAAUAUUUGUGCCUUAUGCUUUUUUUCAUUUUCAAUCAACAAAAAUGUUCAUAAAUUUGAAUUACCAGUACAGUAAUAUUCAAAAGGUACAUUAGCACAGAAUCGAUAAAUCAUUACCAUCAUUCAAUGAAUUAAAGACGGGAUAAGGGUUUCAAAGGAAUGUAGAGGGAUAGAUAGAAAGGGAACUUACAGCUAAUUAUGUUCUCUGUUGUUUGAAGUUUGAGGCAGGUAAAAGCUUUCGGGUCAAUCCAUUCAGAAUUUUCCUGUCUAGCUAUGGCAAUAAAGCUACU
Molecule: long non-coding RNA, 626 nt
Filed under: Nicotiana benthamiana
Lineage: Eukaryota; Viridiplantae; Streptophyta; Magnoliopsida; Solanales; Solanaceae
Description: long non-coding RNA (NBEN_LNC036666)
Source: RNAcentral